AACGAACGCUGGCGGCAUGCCUAACACAUGCAAGUCGAACGGGAUCCUGGUUUCGGCCAGGUGAGAGUGGCGGACGGGUGAGUAACGCGUGGGAACCUGCCCAGUGGUGGGGGAUAACUGCGGGAAACUGCAGCUAAUACCGCAUGAGCCCGAAAGGGGAAAGAUUGAUCGCCAUUGGAGGGGCCCGCGGCCUAUCAGCUAGUUGGCGGGGUAACGGCCCACCAAGGCGACGACGGGUAGCUGGUCUGAGAGGACGACCAGCCACACGGGGACUGAGACACGGCCCCGACUCCUACGGGAGGCAGCAGUGGGAAUUUCCGCAAUGGGCGAAAGCCUGACGGAGUGACGCCGCGUGUGGGAUGAAGGCC
RNAcentral lists this ribosomal RNA (368 nucleotides) under uncultured bacterium. Its description in RNAcentral is "bacterial SSU rRNA". It matches the Rfam family "Bacterial small subunit ribosomal RNA", at positions 28 to 416 of the family's 1533-position model. The record is from RNAcentral.